CGGGACGGGUGAGUAACGCGUGGGUAACCUGCCUCAUACAGGGGGAUAACGAUUGGAAACGAUUGCUAAUACCGCAUAAGCGCACAGUACCACAUGGUACAGUGUGAAAAACUCCGGUGGUAUGAGAUGGACCCGCGUCUGAUUAGCUAGUUGGUGGGGUAGCGGCCCACCAAGGCAACGAUCAGUAGCCGACCUGAGAGGGUGACCGGCCACAUUGGGACUGAGACACGGCCCAG
Molecule: ribosomal RNA, 236 nt
Filed under: uncultured bacterium
Lineage: Bacteria
Description: partial 16S ribosomal RNA
Rfam family: Bacterial small subunit ribosomal RNA
Source: RNAcentral